Molecule: long non-coding RNA, 198 nt
Organism: Mauremys reevesii (Reeves's turtle)
Lineage: Eukaryota; Metazoa; Chordata; Testudines; Geoemydidae
Exons: 3
Source: RefSeq, a predicted model, not a curated record
AUAAAGAAGCAGACUUGCAGGGAAAGAAAUCUUGUCCCUCAGCACCUUUGGACCCUACAUGUGUAACAUGGGGAUAUCAGUCUAGUUUCAUGGCUCCGAUGGCCAAACGCACAUGAAAGGCUUAGAAGUGAUCCUGCAGCACUUGGCAGACAGUGGGGAAAGAAAUCUUCGGCAGUCCAGGUGGCAAGAUGGACUCGA